This is a long non-coding RNA of Megalopta genalis, 2012 nucleotides long. RefSeq lists it as uncharacterized. NCBI's taxonomy places the organism in Eukaryota, Metazoa, Arthropoda, Insecta, Hymenoptera, Halictidae. The record is from RefSeq and is a predicted model, not a curated record.
UAGAUUAGGCCUCCCACUCGUCUUAUUGGAAGAGAAGAUAACAUCGGUCCGUCCGCGCGAGGGGUGCGACGCCACUGAUUUCGCCAAUCGAUUGUUCCGUAUUCGCGGACGACUCGCGGCGACACGUCCGGGCACGAUUCGAUUGUUAACGGUUCAACGAAACUCUAAACCGCGGAAACCGCGAGACCAACCGAACCGCCGAAGAGAAUCGCGUCGCCGCGAAUUCCGUACGCAUCCCCCCGAAAACGACGCGCCACGAAAUCGAUAACCUGUACGGAAAAAAGGACACACCGCGUCUUACCUCGGUGAAAAAUUGCUGGAUCCUCGUCGCGAGAUCGGUGUGCUCUCUCCCCGUGUCCUGUCUGUCUGUCCGUCAGGCUUCAGGAUCGCCAGUCGGCGUACGUAUUCGGCAACCGAAGGCGAUGGUGAGCCGGGGUUAGGUUGAGGCGUGCCGCUCGGGCUGGCUCCUUCGGCGGAUCUUCGCAGGAGACACCUUGGAUUCGCUCGUGUAAACAGAUAUCGCAGGCGUUGCGCCGACGAGAGACGCGCGCUUCUGUUCCGUUCCGAUCCUUCUCGCGUAAAUAGAAAAGAUCCUUUCGUUUCGCGGCGCGCGGAUUCGUUCGACGGCCCACAGACAGUUUCUGCCCGAUUCUCUUGCUGCUCGCCUGCACACGAGUAUCACCACCACUUUGGGAGCACCUUCGCGGAUCGACUGGCAACUAUAUUCGUAUACGGACUACACGGGCCACCACCGUUCCCUGCCUCGGGAACCGGAGCAAUGGCUCUGCCUCUUUCUCCCUCCAGUAACCACCAGCGACAACUGGCGACGGCCAGCAAUGACCCUUAUUACCCGCACCCUUUAUCCAAUGUUUCCAGCGAUUUGGAAGGAUGCUCUUUAAUGGAACGUUUCUGGCUGCCGAUUUCGUCGCGACAUUCUUCGGCGGUCGGUGGUUGAAAAUUCGAAUCGUUCCCGCCUCGAUGGGCCACAGUGGUUCGCAACUUUGGCUAUGUUCAUGAUCAAAAUAUUCAAAGAUUUUUCGAAGAUUAUACCGAAUUUAGCGAACUGUGGUUAGUCCUUUUAUAACUAAAUACUUGAUCAUUAGACUGUGGAUCUUUAUGCAAAAUAAAACUUAUCCAAGUUAAUUGUAAGAAAUAUAAAUUAGCUUUAAGCGUCUUUUCUUUUUUGACAAUCGUGGUCUGUUGAAAAUAAUGACAGCGAUAUCCUUAAAUUCUUCUAAUGCGUCUCUACUUUUGUGCUCGAUCUAUUCAUUUUUGACGUACACGCAUAAACUCUGCUGUCUAUCGAUGACAGAAUAAUCCGUGGAAGUAGCUUCGCAGAAUUUGUUUUAUUAGACGUGUGUAUAGAAUACAAUUUUUCAAUCUACGUGAAAUCUUUCAUUCCCGGUACCAGAGUCAUCAAAGCGUUCUCCAUGUUUCUCCUUUCGGUGUCGGUUUUCAAGGUGUUCCACACGCGUUCCAGUUUCCUUUGCUGGUGACGCUAAACAAUUGUACGCAUUCGAUAAAGAUACAAGUAACGGAAGAGUUUGUCAUUCUCAGCAGUAAGCAAUCUGUGUACCUUGAUAUAGAGGAAACAAUGUUUCAGCGUUGCUCCCACGUAAAGUAUUUUCACCCGCACCAGACGGCUCGCGAUAUCGUUUAUCAGAGGAAUAGCCUUUAGUAGAAAUUUGUGCGGUCCGUGUCUAGUUUUGACUAAUGCUAUCCUCGUGUGCUCGUUGCAGUACUUGGCUAGAAGAAUAAUAGAUCAUGAGGUCGUCGGAUUACAAAGAAAAUAUGUAUUAUUGCACAUUCGGUUUUACCACUGAAGCCAGCUUUUAUCGCCGCUACACCGAAGUCACCGUACAGCUGUUGUACUUUUUGAUUUAUAGCAACGUGCAGCGUCGUGAUUUUCAGCGGAAAAUGUUUAUCGUAGUUAUCGCCGAGAGUUAUUUCGAAUACCAAAUAUCUGCAAACGAACUUAUGUAAUCGUCAACAAUAAAAGAUUAUGAUCGUCA